This 82-nucleotide transfer RNA is filed under the name Nanobdellota archaeon. RNAcentral's name for it is "tRNA-Leu". It matches the Rfam family "tRNA". From Rfam's summary of the family: Transfer RNA (tRNA) molecules are approximately 80 nucleotides in length. Their secondary structure includes four short double-helical elements and three loops (D, anti-codon, and T loops). Lineage: Archaea; Nanobdellati; Nanobdellota. The record is from RNAcentral.
GCCCUGGUAGCCUAAUGGUAAGGCAUCCGCCUUAAGAGCGGAGUCCCCCAAGGACAUCCGGGUUCAAUUCCCGGCCAGGGCG